AUACGUAGGGGGCAAGCGUUAUCCGGAUUUACUGGGUGUAAAGGGAGCGUAGACGGUGUGACAAGUCUGAUGUGAAAACCCGGGGCUCAACUCCGGGAUUGCAUUGGAAACUGCCAUACUUGAGUGCAGGAGAGGUAAGCGGAAUUCCUAGUGUAGCGGUGAAAUGCGUAGAUAUUAGGAGGAACACCGGCGGCGAAGGCGGCUUACUGGACUGUAACUGACGUUGAGGCUCGAAAGCGUGGGGAGCAAACAGGAUUAGAUACCCUGGUAGUCCACGCGGUAAGCGAUGAAUACUAGGUGUUGGGGGUCUAUAGACCCUCGGUGCCGCAGCAAACGCAAUAAGUAUUCCACCUGGGGAGUACGUUCGCAAGAAUGAAACUCAAAUGAAUUGGCGGGG
This 397-nucleotide ribosomal RNA is filed under the name uncultured bacterium. Its description in RNAcentral is "partial 16S ribosomal RNA". It matches the Rfam family "Bacterial small subunit ribosomal RNA", at positions 523 to 918 of the family's 1533-position model. The record is from RNAcentral.